UGUGUGUUAGUGGAAGCGUCUGGAAAGGCGCGCGAUACAGGGUGACAGCCCCGUACACAAAAAUGCACAUGCUGUGAGCUCGAUGAGUAGGGCGGGACACGUGGUAUCCUGUCUGAAUAUGGGGGGACCAUCCUCCAAGGCUAAAUACUCCUGACUGACCGAUAGUGAACCAGUACCGUGAGGGAAAGGCGAAAAGAACCCCGGCGAGGGGAGUGAAAAAGAACCUGAAACCGUGUACGUACAAGCAGUGGGAGCACGCUUAGGCGUGUGACUGCGUACCUUUUGUAUAAUGGGUCAGCGACUUAUAUUCUGUAGCAAGGUUAACCGAAUAGGGGAGCCGAAGGGAAACCGAGUCUUAACUGGGCGUUAAGUUGCAGGGUAUAGACCCGAAACCCGGUGAUCUAGCCAUGGGCAGGUUGAAGGUUGGGUAACACUAACUGGAGGACCGAACCGACUAAUGUUGAAAAAUUAGCGGAUGACUUGUGGCUGGGGGUGAAAGGCCAAUCAAACCGGGAGAUAGCUGGUUCUCCCCGAAAGCUAUUUAGGUAGCGCCUCGUGAAUUCAUCUCCGGGGGUAGAGCACUGUUUCGGCAAGGGGGUCAUCCCGA
Molecule: ribosomal RNA, 607 nt
Filed under: Escherichia coli
Lineage: Bacteria; Pseudomonadati; Pseudomonadota; Gammaproteobacteria; Enterobacterales; Enterobacteriaceae
Also listed under: 1 other name
Description: partial 23S ribosomal RNA
Rfam family: Bacterial large subunit ribosomal RNA
Source: RNAcentral